RNAcentral lists this transfer RNA (66 nucleotides) under Steromphala umbilicaris. Its description in RNAcentral is "tRNA-Lys". The record is from RNAcentral. Lineage: Eukaryota; Metazoa; Mollusca; Gastropoda; Trochida; Trochidae.
UUUUAGGUGGCCGAGAUCAAGCAUUAGACUUUUAAUCUAACAACGAUAAUUUAUUAUCCCUGGCUU